GGCGCUAUAGCCAAGUCGUUACGGCGACAGAUUAGAAUGCGACCUGAGGAAAGCAAGUUAUCUGUUCCUCUUUGAGGGCGCAGGUUCAAAUCCUGCUGGCGUCG
This is a non-coding RNA of Flammula alnicola, 104 nucleotides long. NCBI's taxonomy places the organism in Eukaryota, Fungi, Basidiomycota, Agaricomycetes, Agaricales, Strophariaceae. The record is from the annotation of a GenBank genome assembly.